CUCAGGAUCACCGGAUCUUUCGGCCAUUAUCACUAGACAUCCUCACCUGAGGGAGGCCCCCCCGGGGGUGAUCAAAUCCCGGGGUUUUUCUAUGAGGUCUGACUUAGAAUCUCCCGGGACACAUCAUCAGUAGUGGACCUCAGGAUCACCGGAUGUUUCGGCCAUUAUCACUAGACAUCCUCACCUGAGGGAGGCCCCCCCGGGGGUGAUCAAAUCC
Long non-coding RNA from Thunnus maccoyii (southern bluefin tuna), 217 nucleotides. RefSeq lists it as uncharacterized. The record is from RefSeq and is a predicted model, not a curated record. NCBI's taxonomy places the organism in Eukaryota, Metazoa, Chordata, Actinopteri, Scombriformes, Scombridae. The transcript has 3 exons.